RNAcentral lists this ribosomal RNA (447 nucleotides) under uncultured bacterium. RNAcentral's name for it is "bacterial SSU rRNA". It matches the Rfam family "Bacterial small subunit ribosomal RNA", at positions 355 to 825 of the family's 1533-position model. The record is from RNAcentral.
UGGGGAAUCUUGCACAAUGGGCGAAAGCCUGAUGCAGCAACGCCGCGUGCGGGAAGAAGGCCCUCGGGUUGUAAACCGCUUUCAGAAGGAACGAAACUGACGGUACUUUCAGAAGAAGGUGCGGCCAACUACGUGCCAGCAGCCGCGGUGACACGUAGGCACCAAGCGUUGUCCGGAUUUAUUGGGCGUAAAGGGCGCGUAGGCGGUUUGUCAAGUCAGUUGUGAAAUCUCCGAGCUUAACUCGGAACGGUCAACUGAUACUGUCAAACUAGAGUACAGAAGGGGCAAUCGGAAUUCUUGGUGUAGCGGUGAAAUGCGUAGAUAUCAAGAGGAACACCUGAGGCGAAGGCGGGUUGCUGGGCUGAUACUGACGCUGAGACGCGAAAGCGUGGGGAGCAAACAGGAUUAGAUACCCUCGUAGUCCCUGAGCGGGCUGGCAAGGCGCAU